Molecule: long non-coding RNA, 472 nt
Filed under: Elaeis guineensis (African oil palm)
Lineage: Eukaryota; Viridiplantae; Streptophyta; Magnoliopsida; Arecales; Arecaceae
Description: long non-coding RNA (EGUI_LNC008577)
Source: RNAcentral
CCGACCCAACCUAGACCCAGUAUAUGGACCCAAACAGCCAAACACGUAUUGAUUAUUCUCCUGGGUCCCAACUUAAGUGUCUGACUCUGUGAGACCAUGACUUCAUCGUAACCAAAUCACUCGCUUAGCCUCUUCCGGUCCCAUUCGCAUUCCCAGUUCCUUCCCCUUCCCAAUCUUUUUCUAAUCAAUCUCCCUUGCCAAACCCCCGAUCCUACUGCAAAUCGAUCUCUUUGACUUCCGGCGACUUUGGCAUCCGGCAACUUUGGCGUCCGGCGAGGAGGCAACUUGGGCAUGCUCGAUGCUUUGUCCCUAGAUAUACUCUCUUCCUGCAUGCUCUACAGAUAAAUAUAAUAUUGAACAGUUGCUAUCCAGAGUGAUGUCAUCAUAGUUGAUGAUGCUUCAAGGCGUUUGAUGAUACAACAGGUGCAUUUUCUAUUUAGUUGCUAUGGUAUCACAUGCAGCUGGGUCGAUG